Cantharellus anzutake is the source of this 85-nucleotide non-coding RNA. NCBI's taxonomy places the organism in Eukaryota, Fungi, Basidiomycota, Agaricomycetes, Cantharellales, Hydnaceae. The record is from the annotation of a RefSeq genome assembly.
GGCUUGAUAGCUCAGUUGGUAGAGCGCCUGCUUAACACUUGUUGUUAUGCGCAGAAGGUCGCAGGUUCGAGCCCUGCUCAGGUCA